AGGACAAACAAAUAAAUAGGUCCUGUACAGCCCAUCAAAACAAAAGGCUGCUAUUACCCCUAGAAGACAAACCAUUCAUAUUUCAACUUGGGUUAUGUAUACAAGACAUUUUUCUAUGUACUCAUACAAUUGC
Molecule: long non-coding RNA, 133 nt
Organism: Nanorana parkeri
Lineage: Eukaryota; Metazoa; Chordata; Amphibia; Anura; Dicroglossidae
Exons: 3
Source: RefSeq, a predicted model, not a curated record